CCAAAUCAAGACCAGUAAAUUCGGUCAUAUGACGGUAAGUGUUGGAGUCUUCGGCACGAAACACAGGUCCAAUUUCAAAAACACGCUCACGAUCAGCAGCAAUAAGCAUUUGCUUGUAAAGCUGGGGGGAUUGGGACAAAAAUCCAUCUGUUUUAAAGUAUUGAAUUUUAAAAACAUUUGAGCCACCUUCACUAGAAGCUCCACUCAUCUUGGGCGUAUGAAUCUCGUUAAAGCUAUUAGAUAACAAAAAUUCACGGAAAGCUUGGCAAAUACCGGCUUGAAUGUCAAAAAUGGCUUGGUUGGUAGGAGUACGAAGAUCAAGUACACGAUUGUCCAAACGUGUAUCAAGAUUGACACGAACAAAUUUGGAAUCUCCCUCAGCAGCAUUUUCUUCAGAUUCUCUGAUUUGCUCUUCAGAACGGCCAGCAUCUUCAACAAGAAAAGGAAGGUUCUUUUUAAUGGGAGAAAUGACAUAGAUAGAGCUAAUGUGAAUUUCAGCAUCCUGAACAGUAGCACUCUUGAUGAUUUCGGGACUCUUCUUGACGAUACCUUCGACAAGAACGAUCGAUUCCAAACUGAUACUGCCACACCACUUCACCAUUUGCUUGCUAAUAGUAUCCUUGUUGACGACAGCCAAGGCUUGAAUAGUGUCGUAUUUCUGUCUCAAAGAAAAGAAGCACAUCUUGUUACCCUGUAAACGAGAAGUGUAAACUCUAGCUCUGAGCAAAACAGUUUGCCCAUCGUUUUUAGCAGAAAUGUCGGAAAUUUGAGUAUAUGUACGACCAGGCCUAGCAGUAGAUCUGUUUAAAGGUAAAUCACCGUAUUUUCCAGCAGAGUAGUCAAUUUCGUUGGCUUCACGCUUCUUCUUCUCCUCGGCCUCACGAGCCUCUCUUUCUUUUCUCUUUUGUUCCUUCUCACGUUCUUUUUCAAGUUUCUUCAAAGCCUUUUUGGAAAGAGGUUUUCCAUCCUCACUACAAAUGUGAUGGUUAGUGAUAAUUUUUAAUGAUAGCAUUCUGCACUAGCACAUACCCAAGAAUAACCUCUUUUGGCUUUUCGUUCUUAGCCUCUAAAGAAAGAUUUUCUACCUGUUUUUCCAUCUCAGACAUCCUGAGUAAAAUUGGCGAACGGUAUGUUUUGAUAAAUUAGCGCAGCUCAAUCUAUAUGCGCGAGAAAUCAAAACUACUGAUGCUGAGUUGUAACGCUGCAUACCUUAUUGAUGGUAUAAUGCAAUACAAUGAUUGCUAAAGUAAUUUUUUUACGAUACGGUUUUUUAGAAUAUCAAGAGCCUUCAAUAUCAUUAUGUGGUUAAGGAAAAUGAGCAAUAGUACGUUAUAAGUUGAGCUUACUCAAAUGAUUAGAAUGGCAUUUUCCAAGCCUUCGUGAGUCAAAGAAGAUUCCCUUUUUUACAAUACUCGUAUUGAGCUAAAAACUUAGAAUCUCUGUGUAAAUAAUAAUUCAAAAAAUCUUUUUCAUUACUUUCAAAUACCGUGUUUCACUGAGUAGAACAGUCGUGACUACGAUGUUUAUAUGGUUUCGAGAAGUCAGUAUCAGCCUUCUAAUGAUUCGACAAAGAAAGGUCAAUGGGUAUGCAAAUUUUUAAAUUUAUACCUUUUCAUAUGUACUCGGAGACAGACCACCGACGCUAAUUCAGAAUUUCCGACGUUUUUAAGCUCAUUUGUAGUU
Non-coding RNA from Schizosaccharomyces pombe (fission yeast), 1683 nucleotides. NCBI's taxonomy places the organism in Eukaryota, Fungi, Ascomycota, Schizosaccharomycetes, Schizosaccharomycetales, Schizosaccharomycetaceae. The record is from the annotation of a GenBank genome assembly.